RNAcentral lists this long non-coding RNA (29967 nucleotides) under Triticum aestivum (bread wheat). RNAcentral describes it as "long non-coding RNA (TAES_LNC008890)". The record is from RNAcentral. Lineage: Eukaryota; Viridiplantae; Streptophyta; Magnoliopsida; Poales; Poaceae.
AUGGCGAGGCGGCCGUUCUUGAUCUCCUUGGUGCGGAGCACCAUGACAGGCUCCGGCGAGCCGCGGCCCCAGUUGCCCCAGUCGAACCACAGGCCCCCAGGUACCCCACGUCCGGGGUGGGGUUCUUGCGGUUGGGGAACCGCGGCUCGAUGUCCACGGACCUCGGGUUGAGGUAGUCCAUACACCGCCGGCCCUCCACCCACCCCAUGAGCGCCAUAUGGGUCACGAAGAGCAUCGACGGGUUCAUGAAGUACUCGUGCUCGCCGGCGGUGUACCAGGAGAACUCCUCCAUGAAGCCCCACUUGUGCAGGAUCUCCGGGACCAGGUUCCUAGUCGUGGCCAGCAUCGCCCACCAGCCGUGCAUCAGCUCUGCCUGCGCGAAACACCGCAGCGACUCCGGCUCCGAUCCGAAUCCGAGAGGAUCAAAUCCAAAGUCUCCCGGGAGGCUGAAGGGGAAUGACAACAUAGGCAUAAUGUCAGAGACGAAAUAAAAUUCAGUACGUAUUUUCCACGAACGAUGCAUAGAGUAUGAAAUUGGGUUUAGACUCAUAUCCGCCUCAUAUUUGAGCUGUAUAUUAGAGGUGUCAGUCAGCCCGGAUGUAUGAGGCCCGUUUGAUGCGUCCAUCUGGAUCGAAAUUUCGUGAGUGGUCAGUGACCGGACGGGCCGUCCGUACGUUUGAGAAUUUUAUUUUAUUUUUGCGAAAAGUUUGUGAAGUGUUUAGCGCCCGGUUGUAGAUGCUCUUAGUCAUGAAAUGGUGAAAACCGUGGGCUCUAGUGUAGAUUCUCUUUAUCUGGCCGCCCUGUCCGGAUGGAGUAGUACCACGUUGCGUUGGUUCAUCUCGGCCGUGGUUAAGUCACGUCGUUACGCCAUUAUUCAUGUUUUUCUUUCGAUGACAUCGUUGCGCCAUUGAUUAUGCGUUAACGACGCAGGGGCAUGGCGUUACUGUUCCGUUUGUCAUUAGUGGUGAGGAGACAGUUAUGAAAGCAAGCUGACUGAGAGACAGCUCAUGGAGGGAAUUGGCUCGUGGACUGGACUGCACACCAGCCGCAACAACAGGACUUCCUUCCUUCCGGUGCCUGAAUCUGAGGCUCUGGCAAACAGCAACCAUCCUAUCUAUCUAUCCUAGGUUCAACUAGCCCAAUAAAUAAGGGAAUAUCAAUCUCUGAGUCCAGACUCCAGACUCAUCUACAUCCAAUCAAAGAAAACCAUAUACAAUUUAAAAAAUUCAAAAGAAUCCAUUUUUGUAUGGUAGAUAAAUUGAUGUGUGAGGUGCAUUUCAAAUUUCAGAUUAUUUGAACAUAUAAGAGCUCUCAGCAAAAAAGGUAAAUUGGACCAGAACAGCAUUUAACAGUAAACUUUAUUACAGACCCCAAAUUUACCUUUUCUGCGGAUAGCUACUCAAAUGUUCAAAUGAUCUGAAAUUUUGAGCGAGCCUCUCGCAUCAAAUCAUUUACCAUGCAAAAAAAGAUUUUUUUUAAUUAUAUUUGUUUUGAUUUAUUUUUUAUUCAGCACGGGCGCGACGAGCGUAGGCAUCAAAUCGGUGCUCUCAAUAAUAAGCCCACGGGAUAAUGCAAUGAACACGAGAGAGAGAAAAAGAAAAUCCUCUCGCCCAAGAACGCCAAAGCCUGCCAGAAACUGAAACCGACGAGGCAAAGCCUGCCACAUGUCCCAUGUGUUGUUCCUUGCUCGACGCGUGGAGCGUGGAGCGUGGAGCGCCCAACCAAAGAUCCUUUGCCGCUUCUGCGUCGUCUCUCCCUGGGAAAGAUCCUUCUUCGUUCUUGCACCUUUUCGCCUCAUGCCAUUUCCUUGCGCCCGUUGCUGCCUCUUGCGGUCUGUCCCGGGGAAAGGCGUUGGUUGUUUAGCCUCUUCUUCUCGUCAACAAGAUUAACGAUCAUGCCGUUCAUGACGGCGCCGAUGCCCGUUAGCCCUUUUUGAUGUGUGCCGACUUGAUCUCUUCUCGGGUCGGUUACGGGACUAAACAUGUGUUGGGUGGCGAUGAUGGUUGAUGUGACCCUCCCUGCUAACGUACGGCUAACCAUGUGCGCGUGGUUUCGUCAGGUUCGAAAGCGAAACUUAUUCUACGCAAAAAAAAAAAGCGAAACAUAUUCUACGGAAAAAAAAAGUGAAACAUAGGAGUGGAAGACAAAUUCAUUGCACGAGUGACCCGGUCAGGCGUGAACGGAUACGGAUGCAAGGGCUAGCUCGAGGAUAGGAGAGGAAUAUGCAGCCAGAUGCUCUUCGCUAAUCCGGCCAUGACACGCAGUUGUGGAUAGAAUAGUAAACAUAAUGCAGUCGGUGACAGACACGAUAGGAGGACACCACUCUUCUUCUUCGCGCAAUCAGCCUGCUCCCCUGUCUCGAAAUUAACUGGCAGCUGGCUUAUAUUCUGUGCGGAAAGCACGAUUCUUCAGUGUGGCUCAAUGCAUCGACUACGUUCACUCUUUUCUUUUUAAAUUAUUGUUCUGUUUUUGAAAUAGCUCACCGUCAUGGUGACUAGCAAAUACGGUUUGGACGGUUGUCCCAUCCAGAACACACGUAGCCCCAUGAUACAACUUAAAAUUACAACCAAGUCCUUCGUGAGCCGCAAGACCCACCAGGUGGACUAAUUGGCAAUUGACGCAUAUCGGUUGGGGAAUCCCCAUGCUCUUCUCGGCCUCGGGCCCGCGAAGAAUGCCGGCCAUCGCCGAAAAAAGAGGCAAAUCCGACAUUCAGCACACAAGAGAUUCACAACCGACCUGCUGCCGACGCCACCUCCCAAAGAGAAAGCAACGGACGACCGACGACUCCUUGUCGUAAGCAUAGAAGACCCGAUGAGGCAUAUCUCUGGACUGCCAACGAAAGGAGUCCGAGCGCUGUCGUGCACGGGCCUCCUCCCGGGAGCGGCGAAGCGCAAGCCGGACGGCCACUCUCCUCCUCGCGGCCGUGUGGGAUGACCUCGGGGUCGACGGAUCUGAAGGUGAAGAACUCGGAUCCGCUGCCCGCCAUGCCGGAGACGAGGUUGGAUGGUGCAGGAGAGUGGACUGAAGUGGCUAGGGUUUGGUCCGGCGAGUGGAUGGGCAGAAAUAUAUGUGAGGUCGGGUGGGCGAGCAUGGGCCGGGUCCGACAUGACUGGCGCGUCCGGCGCCCCAUAUCCGCCCCAUAUUUGAACUGGAUAUAAGGAGUGUCGGUCAGUCCGGACGUUUGAGGCCAGUUUGAGGGUGACAAGUCAUGGAUCAGACGGCCAGCCCGAGCGUUUGUGAAGUGUUCGGGAUGCCCGGCUGUGGAAAUGCCCGAGCGCUAGUCCUCCCACCAAGAACACCAGCCAGCAGCGACAGAAUGGCAAAGGCAACCUGCGUCUGAGUGUCCCACGUGUUGUUCCUUGCUCGGGCCCGUGGAGCGUGGAGAGUAGAGUGCCCAACCAAAGAUCCCUUGCCGCUUUUGCAUCGCCUUUCCCAUGUGUUCUUCUUUCUUGCUCCUUCCCUUGCGGUCUGUUUCCAAGGAAAGGCGUUGGUUGUUUAGCCUCUUCUUUUCGUCAACAAGAUUAACGAUCAUCAGUUCAUGGCGAUGCGUGCCGACUUGAUCUCCUCUCGGGUCGGUUACGGGACUAAACACGUGUUGGCGGCGACGAUGUGACCCUGCUAACGUCCGGCUAACUAUCGGAACAGAGGUUGGCAUGGCUCAGCUCAUCUGUGGUGCAGUGCGGUUUUGUAAGGUUCGAAAGCCAAACUCAUGUCCUCGUUUCUUUGGUCCAGUGAUGAUGCUUCUAGUAGAUUCGUCGUGCGGCCCGGCCAGGUGUGGACGGAACGGAUGGAUGGAUGGAUGCAAAGGCUCGAGGAGAGGAAUGUGCGGCCAGAUGCUCCUCGCUAGUCCGGCCGUGGCACGCAGCUGUAGAAUAAACAAAAUGCAGUCGGUGACACGACACGAUAGGAGGGCACUGUUGGGAAACCAGGUCACCCGGAGGGGUGGCGGCGGCCGCGUGCAAAGCGCACGGGCCGGCCCCUUUCGUUUCUUUUUUGUUAAGUGGGUACUUAUCCCUUGACCCCUGGUCUAUAUAUAAAGCAACGAGGGAUUAUCAUUGUAAUCUCUGAUCAUUGAUUAAUAAAGCUGGUCUCCUCCAUCUCUCUGUGUCAUUUUACUUUCGCAUACUUCGACUACUUCGUCUACGACGCUCGCUCUCGCUCCGCAACCUCGGACCGGACUCGCCGGCGGAGUUGCGGAACACGUUAUCAGCACGCUUCGCUCCAUCAACUCUCCGUCAAGCCUGCGUCAAGCCUGCAUCACGCAGGCUUUCGUCGAUCCCGCGGAGGUAUAAGAUCCGAUCCCCAUUUUUUUUGCAAAAAUGGAUUCCUCUCGUUGCUACGAUUCCGUUUUUGCGAUUAGAUUAUUAUUCGGAUUUGAUCUACCUAUGGUGCGGAUUUUCCUCCCAAGAACCGAGCGGACGAACACGUCGCCGACCAAUGUCGAUGUUCUUGGACUACGAGGGACUUGUUGACUGCACUAUAGGGAGUCGGUACAGAUCGCGACCCUGAUGGUCGCGGUACCGCCGCAAAUGCACCAAAUGUGUCAUGCGCCGUCGGAGUUCCGGACGAACACGACGAAGAUCCGCAUCCCGAGGCCGGCGUCCAGAUGACGCCGUACCAAGCACGCUGCACCGCGUCCUGCUGACGCCGCCGCCGCUGUCUCGAUGGCCGGCUCGACGCCGCGUCGUGNNNNNNNNNNNNNNNNNNNNNNNNNNNNNNNNNNNNNNNNNNNNNNNNNNNNNNNNNNNNNNNNNNNNNNNNNNNNNNNNNNNNNNNNNNNNNNNNNNNNNNNNNNNNNNNNNNNNNNNNNNNNNNNNNNNNNNNNNNNNNNNNNNNNNNNNNNNNNNNNNNNNNNNNNNNNNNNNNNNNNNNNNNNNNNNNNNNNNNNNNNNNNNNNNNNNNNNNNNNNNNNNNNNNNNNNNNNNNNNNNNNNNNNNNNNNNNNNNNNNNNNNNNNNNNNNNNNNNNNNNNNNNNNNNNNNNNNNNNNNNNNNNNNNNNNNNNNNNNNNNNNNNNNNNNNNNNNNNNNNNNNNNNNNNNNNNNNNNNNNNNNNNNNNNNNNNNNNNNNNNNNNNNNNNNNNNNNNNNNNNNNNNNNNNNNNNNNNNNNNNNNNNNNNNNNNNNNNNNNNNNNNNNNNNNNNNNNNNNNNNNNNNNNNNNNNNNNNNNNNNNNNNNNNNNNNNNNNNNNNNNNNNNNNNNNNNNNNNNNNNNNNNNNNNNNNNNNNNNNNNNNNNNNNNNNNNNNNNNNNNNNNNNNNNNNNNNNNNNNNNNNNNNNNNNNNNNNNNNNNNNNNNNNNNNNNNNNNNNNNNNNNNNNNNNNNNNNNNNNNNNNNNNNNNNNNNNNNNNNNCCGUCGGGUGGCGCCCGCCCCCACCGCGCGAACUGGCCGGCCCCCGGCCGCCGCCGCCCCUGGGCGCUAGGGGAAACCCUAGCGGCGCGUGCCUAACCCGUGCGCAGCGCCUGGGCCGGCUCGCUGGCUGUUGGGCCGGAUAGGCCGCGGCCGUGGGAUCCCUCCAAUAAAAAAAAAGAGGGGCGCCGGCUGUCACGUAAAAAUUGCGGUUUAGCCCCUGUAGUUUUCAGUUCUUGCGCGAUUUUUAUUCCUGCGGCAAUAUUUCGCGUAGAACCCCCUGGAACUGUCUGUUUUUCGCUGAAAAUGCGUAUUUGGGCUUAAAAAUACCUCGGGAAUUCAAUUUUUGGGCUACUUUUCACAUAUUGAUGCGCUUAACAUGCUAUCUUAUGUAACAUGAUAUUAUUGUACGAUUUUACUGCUGUAGAUUAAUUGUUUAGCACUCUUAAUCAUUUAGUAAGUCAUAUAAUAGCAUGUUUUAAAUAUUGGAACGUCACUUUCUUGAAUAAGUUUAUCAACAUCGCUUUGUGCAAAAGAUUACCUGCUGUAAUCUCAUGAUUUUUGCAUAAAUCGCAGAUGGCCGGAAUUGUCCACAAGGAGUUUCCUGAGUUGGCCCAGACAGGUCUGAACUACCUGUCAUGGUCCUCGGACUGCGAGAUCUUUCUCCAGGGCAAAACCCUCCUGAGGGCGAUCGGUAAGGGGGCCCAGCUGGCCGUCACUGAUCCCAAGUUCGAGACUGAGAAUGCGCAGGCUCUGCACUUUCUCCGUCAUCACCUGUCACCUACUCUGAAAGAUGAGUAUAUGGCUGAGCGCAGUGCUUCUGGCCUUUGGACCGCUCUUAAGCAGCGGUUUGAGCGGCUGAAGUACACUGUGAAGCCACGUUGUAACACCCUGAGGAUCAUGCUACAGUAACUCUCUGUGAUUAAGCUAAUCAUGUUGCUAAACAGGGCAUGAUCACAUUUGGAAUCACACUUCUUUUCAAACUCCUAAUUCAAACUCCAAUUAAAAUUAAAGUGGAAAAUAAAAGUUUUCAAAAAUUUGAACAAAAAUGUUCGGUGGGUGCCAAAUAAUACACUGGUAACUAUGGUGGAGAAAACACAUUUUUAUAAAAUACCUAAAUACUUUUAAAUGAAAUAAAAUAGAAAAGAAAAUAAACAAAUAAAAAGAAAGAGCAAAAGAAAUCAGAACAGACAAAGAAAAAGAAAAAAAGGAGAAGGCCCCCCCACAGCACCCCUGGCCCAACUGGGCCGACCCCCGGCCCAGCCCACCUCUCCCCCUCGCCCCCUUCCCUGUUCCCCCGACCGGGGUCGGAACAGGGGCCGGUCCCCGCCGCACCACCUCGCCGGCGACGGGGAGGAUAAGGGCGCCAGCACCCCCCGCCGCCUCGGGCCUCUCUCCCACUCACCCCGCUCACCUCUCGGCCCCUGCGCCUCCCUCUCCCCCCUCCCAGAUCCGCGCCGCUCUUCCCUUCCCCACGCCCGACGCGGUCGCCGCCGUUCACCGUCGUUCCCGCGGCCACCGUGCCCCAAUCGCCACCUCGUCGUGUCGUACGCCGUCGCCGCCCUCGACUACACCACCUCCGCCUCUCCGUUGAAGCUCGGAGCCACUGCAACGGCCUCCCCGAGCUCGUCUUCAACUUCGGACGCCGGCGACCCCCUUCUUCCCCGGCGCCGACCUGCUGCUCCUAAGCUCUCACCGGCCUCCGUGUGCCGCGCGGUGAGCCUCUCCCCCCUCCUCCCCUGUCCUUUCUCUCUCGCGCGCCCCCUAGCUGCUGCCCCACGUGCGCCCGAACGCCGCGCCGCGGAGCUCGCCGCCGGCAAGGCUCCGGUGACCUUUUGGUCACAGGCUCAAGCCCGCAGCACUCCCCACCGCACGUAGAUGCUCCCUAGCUCCUCCGCUUGCCCGAUCUCGCGCCGAACCAACGUUGUCGUUGCUCGCCCGAAGCACCUCGCCGCCGGCGAGCUCGUAGCGCUCGCCCCCGCCCGUUCCAGCCCCUCCGGCCACCACCGUUGGACGCGCGGCGCCGAGCCGCGUCGAACGCGCCCAGCCGCGACCCCGCAGACCCCUGUGCGUGAAACCCGCGCCCCUNNNNNNNNNNNNNNNNNNNNNNNNNNNNNNNNNNNNNNNNNNNNNNNNNNNNNNNNNNNNNNNNNNNNNNNNNNNNNNNNNNNNNNNNNNNNNNNNNNNNNNNNNNNNNNNNNNNNNNNNNNNNNNNNNNNNNNNNNNNNNNNNNNNNNNNNNNNNNNNNNNNNNNNNNNNNNNNNNNNNNNNNNNNNNNNNNNNNNNNNNNNNNNNNNNNNNNNNNNNNNNNNNNNNNNNNNNNNNNNNNNNNNNNNNNNNNNNNNNNNNNNNNNNNNNNNNNNNNNNNNNNNNNNNNNNNNNNNNNNNNNNNNNNNNNNNNNNNNNNNNNNNNNNNNNNNNNNNNNNNNNNNNNNNNNNNNNNNNNNNNNNNNNNNNNNNNNNNNNNNNNNNNNNNNNNNNNNNNNNNNNNNNNNNNNNNNNNNNNNNNNNNNNNNNNNNNNNNNNNNNNNGCUCGUCGGAGUCGCUCCGGCGCCGGCCGCCGACAUGGCUGGCCUGGGGCCCCCCCAGUGCCACUGCCAGUGGGCCCGUGGGCCCCGUUGACUGGGUCCACCCAGUCAACGUGCUGACUGGGCAGGCCCAGCCACUGACAUGCGGGCCCCGCCGCAAAAUUUAAAAAAAGAAAAAAGAAAAAUGUUUUAUAAAUAAAAAUAAUUAGAUUAAUUAAUCACUCACUGACAUAUGGGGCCCACCCCUCUAAUUAGACUGUUAGUUUAGUUUAAAUUAAUAUUAGACUAACAGAGGCUGACCUGUGGGUCCCACUGGACCCACAUGUCUGGUUUGACUGGUCAGCCGACCUGUUGACCUGCUGACGUCAGCAUUGCCUCAUGCUGACGUCAUAAUUCAUUUUUGCUUAAUUUAAAUAAUUCCAGAAAUUCAAAUAAACUUUGAAAAUUCAUAUCUUUUAAACCGUAACUCGGAUGAAAAUGUUUUCUAUAUGAAAGUUGCUCAGAACGACGAGACGAAUCCGAAUAUGCAGUCCGUUCGUCCACCACACCUCCCUAACCUAUCGAACUAGCAACUUUCCCCCUCUGGUCCGUCUGUCCAAAAAAGCGAAACAUCGGGAAUACCUCCCGGAUGUUCCCCCCGUUCACCGGUACCACCUACUGUCGCGUUAGGACACACCUAGCACCGCUCAUUGUAUUGUCACGCAUCGUCAUGCUUAUGUUUGCAUUGUAUUUACUGUUUCUUCCCCCCUCUUCUCUCCGGUAGACUACGAGACCGACACUGCUGCUGCCCAGUUCGACUACGGAGUCGACGACCCCUCCUACUUGCCAGAGCAACCAGGCAAGCCCCCCCCUUGAUCACCAGAUAUCGCCUAUUCUUCUCUAUACUGCUUGCAUUAGAGUAGUGUAGCAUGUUACUGCUUUUCGAUAUCCUAUCCUGAUGCAUAGCCUAUCCUUGCUACUACUGUUGAUACCUUUACCUGCAAUCCUACAUGCUUAGUAUAGGAUGCUAGAUUUCCAUCAGUGGCCCUACAUUCUUGUCCGUCUGUUGUGCUAUACUAUCGGGCCGUGAUCACCUGGGCGGUGAUCACGGGUAUAUACUUAUAUACUAUAUACAUGACACAUGAGAUGACUAAAGUCGGGUCGGCUCGUAGGAGUACCCGCGAGUGUAUCUUUGUGGCGGAGCGACAAGGCAGGUUGAGACUGCCUAGGUGAGAGGUGGGCCUGGCCCUGGUCGGCGUUCGCGGUUACUUAACACGCUUAACGAGAUCUUGGUAUUUGAUCUGAGUCUGGCCAUUUGGUCUAUACGCACUAACCACUUACGUGGGAGUAGUUAUGGGUAUCCCGACGUCGUGGUAUCAGCCGAAGCUCUUUUGACGUCAGCAACUGAGUGGCGCGCGCCGCAUUGGACCGUAAGCUCGCGCUUGUAUUAAGGGGGCUAGGUCUGCUUCCGGCCGCGUACGCAACGUGCAGGUGUGCAUAGGGCGAUGGGCCCAGACCCCUGCGCGCAUAGGUUUAGACCGGCGUGCUGACCUCUCUGUUGAGCCUAGGUGGGGCUGCGACGUGUUGAUCUUACGAGGCCGGGCAUGACCCAGAAAAGUGUGUCCGGCCAAAUGGGAUCGAGCGUGUUGGGUUAUGUGGUGCACCCCUGCAGGGAAGUUUAUCUAUUCGAAUAGCCGUGUCCCUCGGUAAAAGGACGACCCGGAGUUGUACCUUGACCUUAUGACAACUAGAACCGGAUACUGAAUAAAAUACACCCUUCCAAGUGCCAGAUACAACCCGGUGAUCGCUCUCUAACAGGGCGACGAGGAGGGGAUCACCGGGUAGGAUUAUGCUAUGCGAUGCUACUUGGAGGACUUCAAUCUACUCUCUUCUAUUUGCUGCAAGAUGGAGAUGACCAGAAGCGUAGUCUUCGAUAGGACUAGCUUUCCCCCUUUUAUUCUGGCAUUCUGCAGUUCAGUCCACUGAUAUGCCCCUUUACACAUAUACCCAUGCAUAUGUAGUGUAGCUCCUUGCUUGCGAGUACUUUGGAUGAGUACUCACGGUUGCUUCCCUCCCUCUUUUCCCCUUUUCCUUUCCAUCUGGUUGUCGCAACCAGAUGCUGGAGUCCAGGAGCCAGACGCCACCGUCGAUGACGACUCCUACGACACUGGAGGUGCCUACUACUACGUGCAGGCCGCUGACGACGACCAGGAGAAGUUAGGAGGAUCCCAGGCAGGAGGCCUGCGCCUCGUUCGAUCUGUAUCCCAGUUGUGCUAGCCUUCUUAAGGCAAACUUGUUUAACUUAUGUCUGUACUCAGAUAUUGUUGCUUCCGCUGACUCGUCUGUGAUCGAGCACUUGUAUUCGAGCCCUCGAGGCCCCUGGCUUGUAUUAUGAUGCUUGUAUGACUUAUUUAUGUUUUAGAGUUGUGUUGUGAUAUCUUCCCGUGAGUCCCUGAUCUUGAUCGUAUACAUUUGCGUGCAUGAUUAGUGUACGGUCAAAUCGGGGGCGUCACAAGUUGGUAUCAGAGCCGACUGCCUGUAGGAAUCCCCCUUUCCACACUCCUUGGCCGAAGUCGAGUCUAGACAUUACGAAAACUUUUACUAACAUGGCUAUGUGUCUUACGGGCCCACGUCGCCAUUGGGUGGUACUAGGAUCUUUUACUCCUCGACCUUUACUCUGGGACUCUGAACUCUCUUCUACUCGGGUUAAACGAAUUUACUAACUUUAACACUAGGAUCCCGUGACCGCGUUCACCCCAAAGUUGGAUAAGCCAUAGUUGUUUCUUAGAAUAGUAUAUUGAACAAUUCACACUCUGUCAUUUGACUCCUUUGAAACGUCUUUGCUUUCAGAUGGAACCCACGAGGCAGGUCGUGCGCCACACGACGGCCAUUGGUGCCUCGGGAUCACCUGCGGUGCUAGCUGAGAUGAUGACCUAUCUGGGUUAUCGCUGGCACCCUGAGUACACCGUCUACGAGGAGUACCAGGACUUUAACCAGGAGCAGUACCGUGCCAUCGUCCACCUCUACUCUCGGGAGUACGACUCCACUACUGUGCUGCACACCGCACAUGGUGUUGGUGUGACCAUCGAUAUGGCUGUCCACGACGCUGCCUAUGCUACUCUGACACGUCUUCGUGGAGAGUAUCAGGAGUUGGACACCUCCCCUUUCAGGCACAUUGCUAUCGCAUCUGAUGUUGGUGCGGAGGGAUACUAUACUGCUGCCUACUCCACUAUCACCCGAGAGCCCUUCUACCAUCAGCACCUGGUUCUGCAUGCUGAUGGGCUGGAUCGAGCUAACCGAGCUCUUCGCCACGAGAUGUACACCACCCGUCAGCACCUUUACCGUGCUCUGACGCUACUGCACCCCUUUGUCCGGUCUGGACAGGUACCGCGUACUGCGAUCUACCCAGCCAGGACCGUGAUGCCCCACGGUGUCGGUUGGCCAAAGGUGGGAGGCUACUCUCCCGCACUUGGUCCUCUUCUGCCACCUGAGCGUCGGGCUCUACACCUGGGUAUCCGCGGCCCCCAGUCUGCUGACGUGGAGGGCUAUCCGUUGCCUCACUACCAGCUGUCGGGCUACGAUUACCUCCACAGUACCUCUUGGGACUGAUGUAGUCUUGCUUAGUUAGUAUUAGUUGCAGUUGCCGCGAGCCUGUGUGCCGCCUAUGAUGUUUUAGUCUAUGUACUGAACUCUAUGUACUGAACUCUAUGCAUGACCCCUUUUGUAAGUUAUGCUGACUACUAUGUAGCAGCUAUCGUGCUCCUUUCGUUAUGCAUGUUUCAUCAUGAAUGAUUCUUGUCUUUGCAAAUAUUUCUCAAUGCUGAACUACCCCUGUUAUAUAUUAGCAGGAUGGUUAGACCAGGUGGUCGUGGUCGUGGUGGCGAUGCCCCACCACCACCUGAGUACAUGGCUGGUAUGAUCCAACAGUUUGAACUGAACCGCCAAUUCAUGGAAAAUAUGAUGGCUCAGUUUCCUCGCCCCAAUAUGAACCAGCAGCCAGCCCAAGUGACUCUUCAAGAUUUCAUACGCCUCAACCCAACCAUCUACCGCAGCUCAACUCAGCCUCUGGAUGCUGAUGACUGGCUCCGUGACAUCACCUAUGAGAUGGAGUCUGCUGAUGUAGCCCCUACCAGUUAUGUCACUUUUGCUUCCUUCUUCUUGAAGGGACCCGCAGCUCAAUGGUGGGACAGCCACAGGCGUACUCUGCCAGCUGGAACAAUCAUCACAUGGCCAGACUUCCAAGCAGCUUUCCGUGCCCGCUUCAUUCCUCAAGGAGUCAUGGACCGGAAGAAGCGUGAGUUCCGCAACCUCACCCAAGGCAACAAAACUGUCGAAGCUUAUCAGCGGGAGUUUCUGGACUUGUCCCGCUAUGCUGAAGAAGACAUUGCAACUGAUGCACGCAGACAGGAGAAGUUCCGUGAUGGCCUUCAAGCUGACAUCAAGCUCGCACUUCUAGUGCAUGACUUUGCUGAUUUCGCCACCUUGGUGAACAAGGCCAUCAAUGUCGAAACUGGUCUGCAGGAAUACCAGAGCUCUCACAGGCGCAACCGUGACACGGGCUCAUCUUCGGGCUCGCCCGCACAGAAGCGUAAGAUAUGGAUCCCGAACAGCACGUACCGUCCAAAUGCAUCUGCCCCAAGGCAGACAUAUGCUGCACCUCGUCUGCCUCCACCACCAUCUAGGCAGUCAAGACUUCCAGCUCCACCAUCCCAAGCUCCUGUUCCCACUCCCAAUAAUGGUCUGUGCUACAAGUGUGGGCAACCAGGUCACCGUGCCAGGGACUGCAAUCAGAAUCAGAAUCAACUGGCCCUUCCAGCAACGGGCCGUGGUAACAACCAGCCCCGCAACAACAAUGCUAAGCCUUAUGGUCGUGCUCAUGCCAACCACGUUGAUCUCAACGAAGCUCAAGAACAGCCUGCUACUGUGAUGGGUACACUCCUCGUAAAUUCAGUACCAGCAUCUGUUUUAUUUGAUACAGGUGCAUCGCAUUCAUUCAUGUCAGAAGAUUUUGCAUACAAGCACGACGUUAAAUGUGAGGAGAUGAACACCUCUGUAUUGGUCAAAACCCCCGUGGGACAAUGUCAAACCUCCUUGGUUGGCAUCGAUGUCCCCGUGGAAAUCGAAGGGCUGGAAUUCUAUGCCUCUCCCAUUAUCCUGAAUUCGUCUAACAUCGACCUCAUUUUGGGUAUGGAUUGGCUGAAAGCGCAUACUGCUUCUAUAGUUUGCGCCACUAAAACCGUCCAUCUGCUACACCCUUCAGAUGAAAUAGUUACUUACCAAGCUAUUCUGGUGCAAAAUGCCGAGGCAAGGCUCUAUGCAUUGAAUGCAUUGAAUGCUGCACCACUCGAGGGCAUUGAAAACAUUCCCGUCGUGCGUGAAUUCCUCGACGUCUUCCCUGAAGAACUUCCAGGGAUUCCCCCUGCUAGAGCUGUCAAAUUCAUCAUCGACUUGAAACCAGGCACCACUCCUAUAGCCAAGCGACCCUACAAAAUGCCGCCGCAUGAACUCCUUGAGCUUAAGGAGGAAAUCGACAAAUCUCUUCGCAAAGGAUUCAUUCGCCCAAGUUGCUCUCCUUGGGGAGCACCUUCUCUCUUUGUCAAGAAGAAGGAUGGGACAAACCGGUUAGUUCAAGACUACCGUCCUAUAAACCAAGCUACCAUUCAGAAUAAAUACCCUCUUCCUCGGAUCAAUGAUCUGUAUGAUCAACUGGCGGGUUCGUCAGUGUUCUCUAAGCUCGACUUGAGGUUGGGCUACCACCAGAUCCGUGUUCGCGAAGAGGAUAUCCCAAAGACCUCCUUCGUGACUCGCUAUGGUUCAUACGAGUACACCGUCAUGUCUUUCGGUUUGACCAAUGCUCCAGCCACCUUCUCUCGUCUGAUGAACUAUAUAUUCAUGGAUUACCUCGACAAGUUCGUCGUGGUUUAUCUGGAUGAUAUCCUGGUAUUUUCCAAGAACGAAGAAGAACAUGCUGAACAUCUUUGACUUGUGCUGGAAAAGCUACGAGAACAUCAACUAUAUGCCAAGUUCUCCAAAUGUGAAUUCUGGCUACCGGAAAUAACCUAUCUUGGGCAUGUCAUCUCUAAGGAUGGUAUUGCCGUCAACCCCGAGCGAGUUCAGGCUAUUCUUGAUUGGACUCCUCCCAAGAACGUUAAGCAAGUCAGAAGUUUUCUCGGUCUCGCCAGCUAUUGCCGUCGAUUUUUCGAGAACUUCUCCAAGAUCGCCAGGCCUCUGACUAACCUGUUACAUAAGGGCGUCAAGUUCCAAUGGACAGACAAAUGUCAGGAAAGUUUCCAGGCACUCAAAGACAAGUUGACUUCUGCUCCAGUUCUAGCUCCACCUGAUACUAAGAAGGACUUCGUCAUUUACUGCGACGCUUCCCGUCAAGGAUUAGGUUGUGUCCUAAUGCAAGACCGCAAAGUGAUUGCUUAUGCCUCUCGGCAAUUGCGCCCUCUCGAAGAGAACUACCCAGUUCAUGACCUCGAACUUGCUGCUGUCAUUCAUGCGCUGAAGCAGUGGCGACAUUACCUUCUUGGUAAUCGUUGCGAGAUCUUCACUGACCACCAAAGUCUGAAGUAUCUGUUUACUCAGCCAGACCUGAACCUCCGUCAGCAGAGAUGGAUGGAGCUUGUUGCAGACUUUGACUUGGGUAUUUCCUAUACGCCAGGCAAGGCUAAUGUAAUGGCUGAUGCCUUGAGCCGCAAGUCUUACUGCAACCACCUCCAGGUUCACAAAGUUCAGCCCUCGCUUGUUGAAGAAUUCAGGAAGCUGAACCUCCAUAUUGUUCCUCCGGGUGCACUCGCUCCCCCUCCUAAGGAGUUUGGCAAGGUGAACCUCCACGUUGUUACCCAGGGUUCCCUCAAUACCCUAGUUGCUAAACCAGAUCUCGUGGAUAGCAUCAAAAGGCUACAGAAGUAUGACUCUGAAGCCCACAAGAUNNNNNNNNNNGCGCCCAGCCGCGACCCCGCAGACCCCCUGUGCGUGAAACCCGCGCCCCUCCCGAGCCGCGCCGCCGCGUUUGGCUCGUCGGAGUCGCUCCGGCGCCGGGCGCCGACGUGGCUGGCCUGGGCCCCCCCAGUGCCACUGCCAGUGGGCCCGUGGGCCCCGUUGACUGGGUCCACCCAGUCAACGUGCUGACUGGGCAGGCCCAGCCACUGACAUGCGGGCCCCGCCGCAAAAUUUAAAAAAAGAAAAAAGAAAAAUGUUUUAUAAAUAAAAAUAAUUAGAUUAACUAAUCACUCACUGACAUAUGGGGCCCACCCCUCUAAUUAGACUGUUAGUUUAGUUUAAAUUAAUAUUAGACUAACAGAGGCUGACCUGUGGGUCCCACUGGACCCACAUGUCUGGUUUGACUGGUCAGCCGACCUGUUGACCUGCUGACGUCAGCAUUGCCUCAUGCUGACGUCAUAAUUCAUUUUUGCUUAAUUUAAAUAAUUCCAGAAAUUCAAAUAAACUUUGAAAAUUCAUAUCUUUUAAACCGUAACUCGGAUGAAAAUGUGUUCUAUAUGAAAGUUGCUCAGAACGACGAGACGAAUCCGAAUACGCAGUCCGUUCGUCCACCACACCUCCCUAACCUAUCGAACUAGCAACUUUCCCCCUCCAGUCCGUCCGUCCGAAAAAGCGAAACAUCGGGAAUACCUCCCGGAUGUUCCCCCCCUUCACCGGUACCACCUACUGUCGCGUUAGGACACACCUAGCACCGCUCAUUGUAUUGUCACGCAUCGUCAUGCUUAUGUUUGCAUUGUAUUUACUGUUUCUUCCCCCCUCUUUUCUCCGGUAGACUACGAGACCGACACUGCUGCUGCCCAGUUCGACUACGGAGUCGACGACCCAUCCUACUUGCCAGAGCAACCAGGCAAGCCCCCCCCCCUUGAUCACCAGAUAUCGCCUAUUCUUCUCUAUACUGCUUGCAUUAGAGUAGUGUAGCAUGUUACUGCUUUUCGAUAUCCUAUCCUGAUGCAUAGCCUAUCCUUGCUACUACUGUUGAUACCUUUACCUGCAAUCCUACAUGCUUAGUAUAGGAUGCUAGAUUUCCAUCAGUGGCCCUACAUUCUUGUCCGUCUGCUGUGCUAUACUAUCGGGUCGUGAUCACCUGGGCGGUGAUCACGGGUAUAUACUUAUAUACUAUAUACAUGACACAUGAGAUGACUAAAGUCGGGUCGGCUCGUAGGAGUACCCGCGAGUGUAUCUUUGUGGCGGAGCGACAAGGCAGGUUGAGACUGCCUAGGUGAGAGGUGGGCCUGGCCCUGGUCGGCGUUCGCGGUUACUUAACACGCUUAACGAGAUCUUGGUAUUUGAUCUGAGUCUGGCCAUUUGGUCUAUACGCACUAACCACCUACGUGGGAGUAGUUAUGGGUAUCCCGACGUCGUGGUAUCAGCCGAAGCUCUUUUGACGUCAGCAACUGAGUGGCGCGCGCCGCAUUGGACCGUAAGCUCGCGCUUGUAUUAAGGGGGCUAGGUCUGCUUCCGGCCGCGUACGCAACGUGCAGGUGUGUAUAGGGCGAUGGGCCCAGACCCCUGCGCGCAUAGGUUUAGACCGGCGUGCUGACCUCUCUGUUGAGCCUAGGUGGGGCUGCGACGUGUUGAUCUUACGAGGUCGGGCAUGACCCAGAAAAGUGUGUCCGGCCAAAUGGGAUCGAGCGUGUUGGGUUAUGUGGUGCACCCCUGCAGGGAAGUUUAUCUAUUCGAAUAGCCGUGUCCCUCGGUAAAAGGACGACCCGGAGUUGUACCUUGACCUUAUGACAACUAGAACCGGAUACUGAAUAAAAUACACCCUUCCAAGUGCCAGAUACAACCCGGUGAUCGCUCUCUAACAGGGCGACGAGGAGGGGAUCGCCGGGUAGGAUUAUGCUAUGCGAUGCUACUUGGAGGACUUCAAUCUACUCUCUUCUAUUUGCUGCAAGAUGGAGAUGACCAGAAGCGUAGUCUUCGACAGGACUAGCUUUCCCCCUUUUAUUCUGGCAUUCUGCAGUUCAGUCCACUGAUAUGCCCCUUUACACAUAUACCCAUGCAUAUGUAGUGUAGCUCCUUGCUUGCGAGUACUUUGGAUGAGUACUCACGGUUGCUUCCCUCCCUCUUUUCCCCUUUUCCUUUCCAUCUGGUUGUCGCAACCAGAUGCUGGAGUCCAGGAGCCAGACGCCACCGUCGAUGACGACUCCUACGACACUGGAGGUGCCUACUACUACGUGCAGGCCGCUGACGACGACCAGGAGUAGUUAGGAGGAUCCCAGGCAGGAGGCCUGCGCCUCGUUCGAUCUGUAUCCCAGUUGUGCUAGCCUUCUUAAGGCAAGCUUGUUUAACUUAUGUCUGUACUCAGAUAUUGUUGCUUCCGCUGACUCGUCUGUGAUCGAGCACUUGUAUUCGAGCCCUCGAGGCCCCUGGCUUGUAUUAUGAUGCUUGUAUGACUUAUUUAUGUUUUAGAGUUGUGUUGUGAUAUCUUCCCGUGAGUCCCUGAUCUUGAUCGUAUACAUUUGCGUGCAUGAUUAGUGUACGGUCAAAUCGGGGGCGUCACACACGUGCAGAGGCAGAGUGGAUCCGUCUGAGGUUUGCGGACUUCAAGACGGUUGGGGAGUACAAUUCGGCUCUGCACCGGAUUUGUACGACUCUUCGGUUGUGUGGUACUGAGAUUACCGACUCCCAGAAGAUUGAGAAAACCCUAUCCACUUUCCACCCCGACGCGGUCCAGUCCUCACGGAACUACCGCCAGGGGAACUACACGAGGUAUUCAGAGUUGAUUGACGUCCUCCAGGUGGCGGAGGCGCAAGACGAGGUUCUCAAAAAGAACUUUGUCGCGCAACCACUUGGGGGGAGUUCUCGCCAGGAGGUGAACGCUCUCAAAGUCCGCAAGCCUCAACAGAAGAAGAGGGGCCGGAAGGGCAAGAAGAAGGGCCCUCACCCCCCCGCCCCGGCUAAGCAGAACAAGCCGGGCAAGGGAGGGCAAAGGCCUCAGGACUGCUUCCGUUGUGGCUCGGUGGAGCAUUUCUCCCGCCAGUGCCGCGCACCACAGGAGGUCGUUGAUGCAUAUAAGGCUCGGAAGGCGCGUGAGACGCACCUCGCCUUGGUUCAGGAGGGAGCUCCACCGGCGCCCAUGGCGGCACCCGUGAUGAUUGCUACUCCCCCUGCUGCGCCUAUAGAGGCGACCCCCGUGGUGCCCAUCGCGGCAGCUUUGGCGGUCUCUACCGACGCCCACGUCGCCAUGGAGGUUGACCACAUGGCCGCCUCGGCGGCGCCGCCACUAGACAUUGAUGCUGCCUCCAAGAUAAUUUCUGAGGAGGAUCAGCUCACUAGUAUGGAGAUUGCGGCGGAAGUGAAUGGCUUCUUCACCGAGUCCACUUAGCAUACCCCUUUGGUUAUCAUGAUUCCGUGCUUUGAUACAAUAAAAUUGAAUAAAUUCGAUUUGGUUGUAAGCUCUAUGAGAGCAUAAACUUAUUCUUUACUUUGGCGAUUGGAUGACAUUUAUUCAUUUAUUCCAUUAUUUAUACAUGAUAGCAUGUUAUGUUCUGAGAUGUGUGCAUUUAUUUUUAAUGUAUUUUUCUUCCUCAUUACGUUAAUUAGAUGUCAUAUUUUAGAACGCGUGUGGCACCCGAAUGGAGGAAACGUGCCUUGCCGAUAGCGCCACCACUCAUACCAUUUUACGAGAAACUAAGUACUUUGAGUCCAUUAAAAAAUCUCCGGGAAGUAUUAUGACAAUCGCCGGCUGCGGUUCUCACAUAGUUGGCUCCGGACGAGCCACUAUUAUACUCCCCAUGGGAACAACUUUGCUCAUUAAUGAUGCGUUGUUGUACCCGGAGUCGACUCGUACUCUACUGAGCUUUAGAGACAUCCGCGCUAAUGGUUUCCAUGUUGAGACCGAUGAUGAAAACGGCAAGGAAUGCCUACUCAUCACAAAGCAGGAUGCAGGUGGUAAACAUGUUAUCGAAAGGCUUCCUUCGUUUGACACAGGGCUAUACUACACUAAGAUAGUAGCACCGCCCGUGUACACUACCCUCAAGACCGUCUUUAGAAGCUCUGAACUCUUCUGCCUCUGGCACAAUAGGUUAGGCCACCCCGGACUUAGGAUGAUGAGAAAUAUAAUUAACAACUCGCAUGGCCAUAAUGUUAACGUGAAGAACUUCCCGAAUCCUGAUGAUUUCGUGUGCUCCGCAUGCGCUAAGGGGAAGUUAGUCAUUAGGCCAUCACCCCUCAAGGUGAGGGAUGAAAUCCCCGCGUUCUUGGAACGUAUCCAAGGGGACAUAUGCGGUCCAAUUCAGCCCCUCACGGGGCCGUUUCGGUACUUCAUGGUGCUCAUUGAUGCUUCCUCUAAAUGGUCCAAUGUUUGCCUGCUGUCAACAAGAAACCAUGCCUUUGCAAAAUUGAUCUCACAGAUCAUACAAAUGCGGAAUAAUUUCCCGGAUUAUCGUAUAAAGUCUAUUCGAAUGGACAACACCGGAGAAUUUACUUCAAAGGCGUUCGAUGAUUAUUGCAUGGCAAUGGGAAUCAAAGUUGAGCACUCGGUACCACAUGUUCAUACACAAAAUGGACUUGCCGAGGCAUUGAUUAAAAGAAUUAAAUUCAUUGCCUGACCGCUCCUUCAGGGUUGUAAUUUACCAACUACAUGUUGGGGCCACGCGGUGUUACACGCGGCUAAUCUCAUCAACUUUCGACCGUCGGCCUACAACAUCCACUCUCCUGUUCAACUUGCGCAAGGGUCGGCACCGAAAAUUUCCCACCUUCGUAGGUUCGAUUGCCAGGUAUAUGUACCAAUACCACCCCCUCAGCGAUCGGCGAUGGGCCCGCUCCGUAAGUCGGGGAUAUACGUUGGUUAUGAGACUGUGUCCAUAAUCAGGUAUCUGGACCCCAUGACAGGAGACUGUCACACGGCUCGUUUUGCUGAUUGCAUUUUUGACGAGGAUCUUUUCCCGACUUUAGGGGGAGAGAAUCAACCCCUUGAUGCUAAAAGUCGAGAAAUCACGUGGCAAGCCACGGGGAUCCACGCUCAUGACCCGCGCACUGCUGAGACUGAGAGAGAAGUCCAAAAGAUAAUAGAUUUGCAGUCUUUAGCAAAUCAACUGCCCGACCACUUUAGUGACUUAAAGACUGUGACAAAAUCGCAUGUGCACGCGCGCAAUGCACCGGAAAGGGUUGAAAUACCGAAGAAAAAUGAUGGUAUGCCCGCUCCCGUCCAAAGGCCUAAAAGGACGAGAAAUCCGGCUUCUCAAAUCCCAAGUACUCGGGGACGCCCGACGAAAAAGGAUAAGAGAGAUUUAUCACAGCCUGUCACCAAAGUACCCCAAAUUGAAACGGGGAGCCAGUCGAGACCUGGCACAAGUACGAAAAAUUCAGUGCACGAAAUUCCGGACUUAAACUUUCCCAUAGGGGAAACACCCAGCGGAGAUGUGAGCGCACACAUCGGCGUGGGAAAUCUAAAGGACCUUGCUCCCAUAAUGGGAAAUUUGGUAGAGCAAGUGUUUGCGCCUGAUGCGCUCCAUGACGAAAUGGCCAUAAAUUAUAUUUAUACGGGGGAGUCCCUGAACCGAGCAACGGUGAUUGUCGACAUCAACUUUGCUACGAAAAUUGCCUCAAUCAUAGAUCUUGACCCUGAGCCUAACACGCUCGCUGAUUGCAAGAAAAGGUCGGAUUGGAAAGAUUGGCAGCAGGCAAUUAUUGCCGAAUUAUUAUCUCUCAACAAAAGGAAGGUGUUCGGACCAGUUUGUCGAACUCCUCCCCACAUUUGCCCUGUUGGCCAUAGGUGGGUUUUUGUUCGAAAGAGAGAUGAAAAUAAUAAGGUAGUACGGUACAAAGCAAGGCUCGUUGCUCAAGGGUUCACUCAACGACCAGGUGUCAAUUUUGAGGAGACUUAUUCCCCAGUCAUGGAUGGAGUUACCUUUAGAUACUUGAUCUCGAUGGUAGUAAACAUGGGCUUGAAAAUGAAACUAAUGGAUGUUGUCACUGCUUACCUAUAUGGUAACUUGGAUUCGAACAUAUACAUGAAGGUUCCAGAAGGUAUCCUUGUUCCGAACCAUGAUAGAGCAAAUAGGGGUCUAUACAGUGUUCAACUUCAAAAGGCACUGUACGGACUCAGACAGUCUGGUAGAAUGUGGUACAAUCGCUUAAGUGAUUUCCUUCAUGAGAAGGGCUACACGAGCAAUAAAGAUUGCCCAUGUGUUUUAAUACGGCGAUCCCAAGAUGGAUUCUGUAUAAUCUCGGUGUAUGUGGACGAUUUAAACAUAAUCGGUACACCUGAGGAUAUUGAGGAAGCGAGUUCCUACCUGAUGUCGGAAUUCGAGAUGAAGGAUUUGGGUAAAACCAAGUUCUGUCUAGGUCUGCAACUUGAACAUUCCCCUGAUGGGAUUCUAGUGCACCAGUCGGCCUACACCCAGAAGGUGUUGGAGAGAUUUGGAUUUGAUAAGGCAUAUCCUUCUAAGACCCCGAUGGUCGGAAGAUCUUUACAGCCAGACAAGGACCCGUUCAGGCCAAAGGAAGAGGGGGAGGAAACUCUGGGACCAGAGGUUCCUUACCUGAGUGCAGUUGGAGCACUCAUGUACCUCGCAAAUUGUACACGGCCAGACAUUGCUUUCGCCGUCAGUUUGCUUGCUCGGUACAGUUCUGAACCUACCAAAAGACAUUGGAAAGGUGUCAAGGACGUCUUCCGUUACCUGCAAGGGACCAAAGAUCUUGGUCUAUUUUAUAAGAGGAAUCAAGACCUAUCUAUAAUAGGCUAUGCCGAUGCUGGGUACCUGUCGGACCCGCAUGAUUGCAAAUCGCUGACUGGGUAUGUUUUCCUUUGUGGUGGAACUGCGUUUUCCUGAAAAUCGUCCAAGCAAACACUUGUGUCGACUUCCACGAACCACUCGGAAAUCAUGGCACUAUUCGAAGCGUCAAAAGAGUGUGUAUCGCUUCGGCGGAUGAUCGGCCACAUUCAGCAGACAUGUGGGCUGAACACCGUACAAACCCCUACCAUUAUCUAUGAAGAUAAUGCUGCUUGUGUUGCACAAGUCCAAAUGGGUUAUGUGAAGAGUAACCUCACAAAGCAUAUUAGUCCCAAGUUCUUCUAUGCGCAUGAGCUGCAACAGUUGAACGAGGUAAGAGUUUUGCAUACUAAGUCCUGUGACAAUCUUGCUGAUAUGUUCACUAAAUCAUUACCGGCAUCAACCUUAGAGAGGUGUGUGCGUGGAAUCGGUACGAUGAGACUUAGAGAGAUGCAAGGUUCAGGGGGAGAAACUUCACAAACUCGUCGCUAAAAUCUCAAUCCUGAUGAUCGAGUACUCAACCUGAUGGUUGAGUGGAUUGUACUCUUUUUCCCUUGAGUGAGUUUUCCUGAUGUUUCUCACACGAGGUUUUUGACAAGGCAAUUCGUGCAAUACAACAACGUAUACUGUGUGCUCUUUCUCCACAUUUUUUUCCACUGGGUUUUUCGGAGUUUUGAGGCAUGGAUAUACGGAUAAUUACCCAAGGGGGAGUGUUGGGAAACCGGGUCACCCGGAGGGGUGGCGGCGGCCGCGUGCAAAGCGCACGGGCCGGCCCCUCCCGUUUCCCCUCUUUUUGUUAAGUGGGUACUUAUCCCUUGACCCCUGGUCCAUAUAUAAAGCAACGAGGGACUAUCAUUGUAAUCUCUGAUCAUUGAUUAAUAAAGCUGGUCUCCUCCAUCUCUCUGUGUCAUUUUACUUUCGCAUACUUCGACUACUUCGUCUACGACGCUCGCUCUCGCUCCGCAACCUCGGACCGGACUCGCCGGCGGAGUUGCGGAACAGGCAACACUCUUCUUCUUCGCGCAAUCAACCUGCUCCCCUGCCUCCAAAUUAACUGGCAGCUGGCUUAUAUUCUGUGCGGACAACAUGAUUCUUCCAUUCAUUGUGGCUCAAUGCCAUCAACUAUGUUGACUUUAUGGCCGUGGUGAAAAUGGACGAAUCUCGCUCCUUUCUAAAAUUUUGGCACAACAUGAACCCAAUUCAAAAAGGUUUUUACAAAAUGGCCAACUUUUGCAUGACUCACGGCGCGUCAUGCAAAUGAGCCAUUUGUGCAUUUCUUUUUUGGCCGGGUUCGUUUUGUGCUAAAGUUUCGGAAAAGCACUAGAUUCGUCCAUUUUCACAAGGCUGUGUGCACUCUCGAGACCAUUUCUACUAUGUUUUGUAAAGAAAAGGUGAGAGGACUAGGCACUGAUUUUUUCUAAAUGAAAUAUUCAUAUUCAUACCAUCACCAUAAAGAUACAAGUACACCCCCGACACGAUCUACAAGUAAUACAGGUUGAACAAUUGUCCCAUCCAAAACAUAUAUAGCCCCAUGAUACAACUUAAAAUUACAACUAAGUCACUAGAAAACUAUAUCGCGCUAAACAUCACCUUUAUCAGCUUCCAGGUAAAAGUGCAGAGGAGCACCAUCGCACCUGUUGCUUUGUGAUACGUCUCAAACGUAUAUAUAAUUUAUUUUUUUAUUGUUUCAUGCUAUUAUAUUAUAACUUUUGAAUAUUUUUUAUAGCAAUUUAUAUUAUUUUUUGGUACUAACCUAUUAGUUAGUGCCGAAAGCCAAUUGUUGUUUUCUGCAUGUUUUUGGUUUUACAGAAAAUGCAUAUCUACGGAGGUAAAAAACCCGAAGGAUUUAAUACGAUUUUUUCGCGACCUUCCAGAAAGUGUCGGGACCUUCCUAGGGGCAACCAGGGGCCCCACGCGGCCAAGGGCUGACCCGCAUCGGGUGCCGCGUGGGCCUCUUGUGCACCUCCUUCUGUCCAUUCUUCCGCCUACAAUUUCAUAUUUCGCAAAACUCUUCGUACCAAUUUUCUCUGAUUUUUUUCAGCGCCGCAAGUUUCUGUUCCGAGGAGGUCCAAUCUGAAGCCUGUUUUGGCAACCUGCCAGAGAGGGAAUCCAUCACCAGAGGCUUCUUCAUCAACCUUGUUGUCUCCAUGACCAUGCAUGAGUAGUUCCUUUAAGACCUUAGGGUCCAUAGCAGUAGCUAGUUAGCGUCCUCUCUCCCCUGUGAUUCAAACGAAGUUCCCGUGAUCUGCCUCACAUGAUCGGGAUCCAUAUGGUGUAAUCGGUGGUGUGUUUGUUGGGAUAUGAUGAAUUGUCACUUUAUGAUCAGGUUGUUGAUGAAAUAAACUGAAUCUUUUGAAAUUUCUUUGUUAAAUAAUUGAAUAGCUUUGUAUGCUCUCCGAUCUAUUUGUAUUUUUUUGAUCAAUUUGAUCGGUAGUUCUUCAGAGAGUGUUGUGCAUUGUAGUGGGUUCAUAUCUUGCGGUGAUCUGUAUCCCACUAACAGAAAAAGAAAAGGCAAGUAUUGUAUUGUUGCCACUAAGAAUAAAACGAUGGUUUCUUUAUUACACUUGGAUGAUAGUUUUAUUGUCUUGGGGUAGAGUAUUAGUUGUAGAUGCGGUUGGAUAACGGUCUACAUAUCACUGACAUAAUUCCUAUAUGAGAUUAUACCAUGAAUGAUCAUAGUCAUAAAUAUAAAUAUUGCAAUUUGAUCGAUGUCCGACAGUAAUUUGUUCACCACACCACACUAGUAUGCUUGGAGAGAUGCCACUAGUGAAAUUAUGGCCCCGGGGGACUAUUUUCCUAUACUAAAAACUUUAUCAAAAAAAUAUUUCCUUGUUGUGCCAUUUCUUUUUUUACAUAUCUAUUAAUUCUACCACACCGUGCAAUUUAAUCUUGUAACUAGCAAGGCAAGAAGCUUGACAACCUCUUAAAUUGUUGGGGACAAGUUUAUUUUGUGUUUUGUGUGCAGGUACCAGUGACUUUGUUUGUUGAAAGAACUGUAGGGUAACGCAGCAGAAAACAAAAAAUUUCCGACCUACGCACCAGCCCAGGACCACUAUGGAGACUGCAUACAUGGUUUGAUCUUUUUCGUUACCGACUCGUAGCGCAGCGGGAAGUAGAGUCGAUGACGAUCGGCGGUGCAGAUCCCCGCAGCUAGGAUUUACGACCUCCCAACCGCGAGGAUGUAUACCCUCAUCUGCUCCUCAGACAGCCCUCAGGGAGGCGGUCGAAUAGCCCCCCGGACGGUGUCGCGGACAGCCCUUCGGGAGGACCUUCGAAACUCGAACGGUCACUCGGACAGCCCUUCGGGAGGACCUUCGAAACUCGGACGGUCACAUGGACAGCCCUUCGGGAGGCACUCACGAACUAAGACCGAAACUAUGAUCUCUCUAUAGAGUUGCACACAUACGGUGUCAUCUAUCCGGCAGGGCUUCGCCAUCCAGAACUAGUUCCUGCCGGAACCCAGACAGCCUUUCGGCUUUACGAAACUAUUUCGCGGGGAGGGAGAGAGAAGCCAGAUCAUUGCAUGGCACUUGUAUGUGAGAAGGGAUGAGGUUUAGGCUGCCCACUCCUCCUCUAUUUAUAGGAAAGCCAAGGGGUAGGGAUGGCUCACAAAAACCCAAAAUGCCCAUGUAAAUGUCACACAUGAAGGGCAUAAUGGGGAGGGAAGUGGAGCUCCAUGGAGCCCCACACAUGUGGCCGGCCAACCCCCUUGGGUGACCCCCAUGAGGAGCAUGCUUGGCCCCCAAGCCCUUCUAGAAGCCUUUUGGAAAUAUCCCAAAAGGUGACUCACCAUAAAAUAUCCCAAAAAGCACUUUCACUAUUCACGACGACAUUUUUCAGCGUCUGUUCGAACUGAAAAUAUUUGUGUGGGCUUAGAACAUUUCCAGUACCCACCAAAAUUAUUUUCAACGCGUUCUGAAACAAUUCCGGUUUAGUGAUUUUCAUCUGCGAAAAGCAUCUGAAGUGGUUCCGGCAGCUCCGGAGCAUAUCCGGUUAUUAUCCCGGAAAAUUCCAGAAAGCUUCCAGAAUGAUUCUGGCACCCUCCAAGAAUUAUCAGGCAUGUGCCGAAACCAAUUUGACUUUAUGGUAUCCCCUGAAACAACUUUUCAGUUUCAUCGAAACUCAUCCGAUGACCUCUUUCUGCGGAACCUUUUCCGCUGUCCGAAACUUUUUCGGUGUCCGAAACUUUUUUGGUGAUUUUCUCUCAGACUCCUUGUCUAGUAUUCAGUAGAUAGAUGACCCUUAAGCGUGUGACCCUAUAGGUUCGGUGAAGUAUAGACAUGACUGGAACCCUUUCCGAUCAAUGAUCAACAUCGGAGCCGUGGACACCCAUAUUAACCCCUAUACCCACACGAAUAAAUAUUUGAGUGAACCUCCAGUUGCCGUGUGCUAUUCCUGUUGCUUCGCGAUAUGUUACAAAUACCCGAGGUGAGACAUGUUGGCAUUCCCGUGGAUCAACAACUUGUCCACUAUGCUAGUUACCUCGUUACCGGUAUUGUUCUCUUUUCUCGUUAUCGUGUUCCGGCAUCCCCGUGAUCAAAUCACAAAGUGUCUGGCCAGACGAUGAUGGAUACCGUAACACCGAGAGGGCCCAGAGAUAUCUCUCCAUCGUCGGAGGAGAAAAUCCCAAUCUUGAGCUAUCAAGUUACUUGACACACUUUUCCAUGAACCCGUAAGCCGCCGUAAUAGCCACCCAUUUACGGAUGACGUUUAACAAACCCCAAAGUUCAUGAAGCAAGCAUGAAGAAACUCGAUACUCUCAUGGUCUAAGGAAUCAUGCAAACGUUAACCAUCUCUGUGUUAUGUACCAUUAACUUGUGAUGAAUGAAUCUCAUAGCAUAACAUCAAUCCGGGUCGAUUCAACACAAAUGUUCUCUUAACAUUGUGCCCUCAAAAUUGCUGGCAUAGACAUGCCCAUGAUCAGGAAAACAGAACCAUCAUGCAACGCUUGAGCUAGUCUUAGAGGCCAGACUAGGAAUACUUCUUACCGUUUAUUAUUCCACACGUGCAUAUGAGUCUUCCUCCGAGCCUCGUGGAUAUUGCAGACUCGAGAAUCAUUGCAGUUAUAGCAUGGAACAUAAACAUAAUUAUGAACUCGGAGAUAAAUAAUAUCAUUUAUUAUUGCCUCUAGGGCAUAUCUCCUACAAGAACUCCCUCUGAUUCGAUAAACUAUGAUUCUCUACCAAGGAAAAUACUUAUUGCUAGGUUACUUCACCCUUAUACUUGGGGGUACCCAACCACUCUUAUGAGAGAGCAAGUAGUUUGUGGGCCUCAAAAACCACCCGCUGAAUUGAAGGAUCUGAUUGGCAAUUGACGCAUAUCAAUCGGGGAAUCCCCAUGCUCUUCUCGGCCUCGGGCCUGCGACUAAUGCCAGCCAUGGCCACAAAAAAGAGGCAACCCCACCCUUCAACACUCCAUGAGAUCCACGACUGGCCGCCUGAACAAAGACUCACCGCUCACACCACCUCCCAAAGACAAAACAAUGGACGAUCAACGACUCCUAAUCAAAAGCAUAGAAGACCCGACAAGGCAGGUCUCAAGGACUCCCCCCUCACUGUCCUGCAACCACCGCUGGAGCCAACUCGGCAUCAUGAGGAUAGGGCCUGAGGGAACCUUAAUUAUUUGCAUCAACGACAUCCAUGCCUCGACAUUGGUGCCAGGAGACCCUAACUCGGGCCCUAAUGGCCCUUAUCCGCCCCUCCACACGGAGAUCCGGGCUCCUCUAAUCUAACCCUCGCCACAUCAUUUCAAUGCCGGAGGAAAGGGGGAGAAACAAAUUUUGCCCCUAGAGUGCCCCCUUUUCUUGUGUCGCCCUCCGCUCUCUUUUUUAACUCUUGUUUCGAGAGAGUCCGAGUAUCAUGCCAUUGCGUGCUAAUUCCACACACCAAGUUAACUUUGUGAUCACAUAAGGGCAUUUCUAGCCGAAUCCCAAAAUGUAGCUCCUCAAAAGCCCCCUCAAACCUUGACUCCUCAAUUUUGAGGGGUUAAAUGAAAGGGUUCCUAGUCAAACUCCUAAAACUUAAGUCCCAACUUUUUAAAACAUAAAUUUGUUUAUUCAGGCCAUCGAGUUAGCUUCACUCGUCUUAAGAUCAAUAUAAACUACUCCCUUCGUUCACAAAUAUAAGAUGUGUAGGAUAUUUUAAUAUGAACUACAUAUUGACUGAAAUGAGUGAACAAACACACUAAUAUGCGUCUAUAUACAUCCAAAUUAGAAAAAUUAGAACAUCUUAUAUUUGUGAAUGGAGGGAGUACUUUAUAAAACAACAUUUUGGGCACAUAGUUCACCGGUUCCUGAGAACUGGUCCAUACAAGAGGACAAGAACAAUUACACACACACAACUUCGGUUUUUUUUUUUGCGGAAAACACAAACACAACUUCCUUAACUGCUACAACAAGUGCAAUCAACUCUUUUCCCAUCUCCUUAGUUUCAUUGUCAACACUUUUGCCCUUCUCUGUUGACUUCUCUGGCGUGCAUACUUAUUUCUUCUCUGCCUCCACAUGAAGAAACUUGGACAUUGUGUCCUCUAUAAUCUCAUCUCUAGCAACAAGUGCACCAACAUCAAAUAAACCUCACUAAAUAAAUAUAUCAAUGUAUUCUUCUUCCCAAUACCAAAAGUUGCAACCUUUUUUUGCAUAAUAUUAAGACAACAUUGAGCUCACAUUGCUCACAACAAAGAAUAACCACACAAUGUUGCACUCGCUUUGUCCUUUUCACUCCACGUAGAAGACCGAUCCGGGAUGUUUCCCCGUCGUGGUGACCCGUCACCAGCACAAUACCAGCUGCCGACAGUCAUCACAUUUUAUGAGCGGUAGAGGCGAGCCGACGAGUUGCUGGGUGGCGGUUGAGCCCUCGAAGGAUCAGCAAAACACGAGCGGCGAGAGGAGGAGGACAUCCCGCGAGGAGCUCUGGAGGCGGCGCGGGACACUCUAGGUGGCUAUGCGGUUCCGUUCCUGUCGAAACGCUACUUUGUGGCGACCCUUCUCAUCAAUAUGCUCGGGGCAGCGGCGAGGCCUAGAUGCGUUGAUUCCGGCAACGUGGGCGGCUGUGGGAAGCGAACCGAAGUAGGGCGGCCUGCUAUCGGGUGUUGACGCUGGCAUGGNNNNNNNNNNNNNNNNNNNNNNNNNNNNNNNNNNNNNNNNNNNNNNNNNNNNNNNNNNNNNNNNNNNNNNNNNNNNNNNNNNNNNNNNNNNNNNNNNNNNNNNNNNNNNNNNNNNNNNNNNNNNNNNNNNNNNNNNNNNNNNNNNNNNNNNNNNNNNNNNNNNNNNNNNNNNNNNNNNNNNNNNNNNNNNNNNNNNNNNNNNNNNNNNNNNNNNNNNNNNNNNNNNNNNNNNNNNNNNNNNNGCGAAGGGUUCUCCGUAAAAAAAUUAUGAGCUAAACUUUCUAAGGGUUCGGCUAGAGAUGUUCUAACACUGUUUGGUUCUUUCUUAAUUCCUUGUACCGCCAAAAUUGCAAAUCUCCAGGACUACAUGAGCAGCUGUUGACAGUUACCUGCUGUCAGAACACUAUGCUUCUUAACAGCACCAGCUGUAUGCUCUCGCAUUUUAUUUGCACAUAUUUGAGCUGAAAGACCAGCGCCGACCAUUGACACAUCGUUUAGCUCAAGGGACGACAUGAUAGCUCGGUAAGACUUUCUAAAUGAUCUCAUGGCUGGCUCAAGGGGAGUAAUAUAUCAUAGACGAGCGGCGCCCAUUGUCUGCAUCGACCACACCAUUCUACCCUUUGUUUUACACUGCACACGUUGCCUCUGGCCUAGGGUUUGGGUUAACCAAGAAGAAAUUACGCGUAUCAAGAAGUAUAACAGUUGUACGAUUCUGAUGUUACUGUUUGGCCUGUGGUGGUAGUAGCAUUUUGUUUUGGCCUAGUGGGAGUAUUUCAUUAUACAGAGGUGUAUCACUAAAAGCAUCUUCCCCGGCUCAUUUCCACUGUAAUAUUCACAUUUUCCAACGGGCAAGAUGACGCCCUCAAAGCCUUAGUGCUCAAGUUCACCGCAAAAACCUUCUGCCAUAGCAACACCGUUGGCCACUCUGCCACGAUCAGUGGGACGUGAACGCCUGCACGGUGUCACGUGACAUAAAAUGAUCUGCAUGAGAAUCACAGAAGCAAAUCAUAAGUAACCAAGCGUGUAUUUGCAUGUACGUACCGAGAAGAUGUUGCAGUGGCCGGGGUCGGCGAGGUGCGCGAAGAGGUUGUCGAGGGGGCCCUGGCCGGUGUAGACGGCCUGGAACCAGAAGCCGACGAAGGCGAGCAUGGCAAGGCGGCCGUUCUUGAUCUCCUUGGUGCGGAGCACCAUGACGGGCUCCGGCGAGCCGCGGCCCCAGUUGCCCCAGUCGAACCACAGGCCCCCCGGGUACCCCACGUCCGGGGUGGGGUUCUUGCGGUUGGGGAACC